This 514-nucleotide long non-coding RNA is filed under the name Phoenix dactylifera (date palm). RNAcentral's name for it is "long non-coding RNA (PDAC_LNC019509)". The record is from RNAcentral. Lineage: Eukaryota; Viridiplantae; Streptophyta; Magnoliopsida; Arecales; Arecaceae.
GUUAGGAAUUGUGUCCUAAAUCCAAUCAAUUGUUGAUUGUAAAUGUAUUUGAAUCAAUUAUAAAUAACAUGGUAUUUAUUCAUCACCAGAACAUCUUCACAAACUCCGAUGUGAUGAAGUCCUUAGGACUGCUUUGUGUAACAAAAUAUGAUUUUGUCACACAGGUCCUUAAAUGUUCAUGACCGUAUGAUAUACUAUUAAUAGGAUGAUAGUAUUAUCGGGCGUAGGUCAUUGUGUAUCAUAUUUGUUGGUUGUCUUCCAAACCAAAGAGUAUAGAGAUACUAGUAUGAUAUACAGGUGAAUGGUAGUGUACGUUCACUGAACGUGACCAAUUGACGGACUCUCUCUUGUCAAGAGUUGUUCCGAGUGGAUAUGGGUAUAUGUAUCCUUUAGACCUGAGAUUGCAACCGAUGGCUUGCAAGCAACUCACUGUACUUUGGUGCCGGACUACCUGGAUUUCUAAUCCAGCGACGGAAGGUUUCUGGGUCCAGUCAAGUACUUGUGGUAGUCAGUU